UAGUCCUAGCCGUAAACGAUGGACACUAGAUGUCGGGACUGUUAUGGUUUCGGUGUCGCAGCUAACGCAUUAAGUGUCCCGCCUGGGGAGUACGCUCGCAAGGGUGAAACUCAAAGGAAUUGACGGGGGCCCGCACAAGCGGUGGAGUAUGUGCUUUAAUUCGAUGCAACGCGAAGAACCUUACCUGGUCUUGACAUGGGGAUGAAAGCCUUUAGAGAUAGAGGCCCUCUCUUCGGAGACAUUCUACACAGGUGCUGCAUGGUUGUCGUCAGCUCGUGUCGUGAGAUGUUGGGUUAAGUCCCGCAACGAGCGCAACCCCUGUCCUUAGUUGCCAUCAGGUAAUGCUGGGAACUCUAAGGAGACUGCCUGGGAUCAACCAGGGGGAAGGUGGGGGAUGACGUCAAAUCAUCAUGGCCCUUACGACCAGGGGCUAGGACACGUACUACAAUGGGACGGUACAAAGGGGAUGCUAAACUGUGAAGUCACGCUAAUCCCAAAAAACCGUUCUACAGUU
This 514-nucleotide ribosomal RNA is filed under the name uncultured bacterium. RNAcentral describes it as "bacterial SSU rRNA". It matches the Rfam family "Bacterial small subunit ribosomal RNA", at positions 791 to 1293 of the family's 1533-position model. The record is from RNAcentral.